GUAGGCAGCAAGCGUUGUUCGGAGUUACUGGGCGUAAAGGGUGUGUAGGCGGUUUUCUAAGUCUGGUGUGAAAUCUCCCGGCUCAACUGGGAGGGUGCGCCGAAAACUGGAAGGCUAGAGUACUGGAUGGGAGAGUGGAAUUCCUGGUGUAGCGGUGAAAUGCGUAGAUAUCAGGAGGAACACCUGUGGUGUAGACGGCUCUCUGGACAGUAACUGACGCUGAGACACGAAAGCGUGGGUAGCAAACAGGAUUAGAUACCCUGGUAGUCCACGCCCUAAACGAUGCAUAUUUGGUGUGGGCAGUUCAUUCUGUCCGUGCCGGAGCUAACGCGUUAAAUAUGCCGCCUGGGGAGUACAGUCGCAAGGCUG
RNAcentral lists this ribosomal RNA (369 nucleotides) under uncultured bacterium. Its description in RNAcentral is "bacterial SSU rRNA". It matches the Rfam family "Bacterial small subunit ribosomal RNA", at positions 527 to 896 of the family's 1533-position model. The record is from RNAcentral.